Molecule: ribosomal RNA, 253 nt
Filed under: uncultured bacterium
Lineage: Bacteria
Description: partial 16S ribosomal RNA
Rfam family: Bacterial small subunit ribosomal RNA
Source: RNAcentral
UACGUAGGGCGCAAGCGUUGUCCGGAAUCAUUGGGCGUAAAGAGCGUGUAGGCGGUCCUGUAAGUCCGCUGUGAAAGUCAAGGGCUCAACCCUUGAAUGCCGGUGGAUACUGCAGGACUAGAGUCCGGAAGAGGAGAGUGGAAUUCCUGGUGUAGCGGUGAAAUGCGCAGAUAUCAGGAAGAACACCAAUGGCGAAGGCAGCUCUCUGGGACGGUACUGACGCUGAGACGCGAAAGCGUGGGGAGCGAACAGG